UGAGUAAUAAUAUAAAAAGUAUGCAAAUUUUGUAAAUUUGUUGUGCUACUCUAGCUUACUCAA
This 63-nucleotide transfer RNA is filed under the name Labidocera rotunda. RNAcentral describes it as "tRNA-Thr". The record is from RNAcentral. Lineage: Eukaryota; Metazoa; Arthropoda; Copepoda; Calanoida; Pontellidae.